Molecule: ribosomal RNA, 485 nt
Filed under: uncultured bacterium
Lineage: Bacteria
Description: partial 16S ribosomal RNA
Rfam family: Bacterial small subunit ribosomal RNA
Source: RNAcentral
GAUGAACGCUAGCGAUAGGCUUAACACAUGCAAGUCGAGGGGCAGCGAGGGUGGCAAUACCUGUCGGCGACCGGCGCACGGGUGAGUAACGCGUAUGUAACCUGCCCGCAACAGGGGGAUAACCCGGCGAAAGUCGGACUAAUACCGCAUAAAACAGGGGUCCCGCAUGGGAAUAUUUGUUAAAGAUUUAUCGGUUGCGGAUGGGCAUGCGUACCAUUAGGUAGUUGGUGAGGUAACGGCUCACCAAGCCUUCGAUGGUUAGGGGUUCUGAGAGGAAGGUCCCCCACACUGGUACUGAGACACGGACCAGACUCCUACGGGAGGCAGCAGUGAGGAAUAUUGGUCAAUGGGCGAGAGCCUGAACCAGCCAAGUCGCGUGAAGGAUGACUGCCCUAUGGGUUGUAAACUUCUUUUACAAGGGAAUAAAAUGAGAUACGUGUAUUUUAUUGCAUGUACCUUGGGAAUAAGCAUCGGCUAACUCCGUG